RNAcentral lists this long non-coding RNA (6757 nucleotides) under Olea europaea subsp. europaea. Lineage: Eukaryota; Viridiplantae; Streptophyta; Magnoliopsida; Lamiales; Oleaceae. The record is from RNAcentral.
CUAAUGUUUUGUUAUCCAUUUAUUACAAAACAUCCCCCCACCAUCCAGAUGUUAAUGUAAUAAAUUAUUAGUUUGAGGGUAGUUUAGUUUUUUACAUUUCGUUUUCCUUGGUAUUGUUGUAUAUAAACUCAUUGUAUCCUACAUAUUUUGCCCUAAGUUUGGAGGCUCCUCCAUUCUUCACAAUAGUGCGUUCCCCUCUGAUAGAUUUAUAAAAUUAGUUCUUCACCAGUUUGUUCUCCUCUUUGGAUAGAGUUAUCAUAUUGGUUUGUUGUUUUCUACACCAGAAAGGUACACUUUGUCACAACUUUCGCCGGGACACAAGGUUGGUAAUUUUUGCACAUAUUUGGUUUCAUGCUUCCUGGUUAUUAGUGAUGGAAAUGAUAUUUUUUUAUUAUUUUUUCUUUUUGUCAAUGUGAUUAUGAAUUGAUAUGGUUAAGGCUCGUAGUACAUGAAAUUGCUAUAAUUGUUGAUGUGGUGAGAUUCUAGUACCUGAAUUUUGAUGCUAAGUUUUAAUUUGGCACUAAUAAUCUUAUAAAAUCCACAUCUAGAUGGAAGGAAAGGUUCGUGGUUGAGAGUUUUCUGUCAUUAGGCAUCUAUAUAUAAGUAGAAUUUUCUAGGUCCCUUAGGGAUAGUUGGUAGCCAUAAUUCUGUGGAUUUGAGGCAUAGUCAACCAGAUGGAAUCUGAACAUAUAUAUAGAUGUUGUAUAAUGCUGUAUUUAUUAUGUAGAGAUUUGAGAAUUGACCUCCAAAUUUCAUCCUAAAAUAUCCAGAGUAUGAUUUAAAAUCAUGCAGAAAUAGAAUUCAGGUCUGAUUCUACAACCAAGCGCACUGAAGAAACCAAAAUAAUUAUACACAUUACAGUAGGCUGGUAUGUGUGCUUGAAGCCCUUCCAUCAUCAGGUGGUUGGCGAACAUGCGCGCACUAUUGAUCUGUAAAUAUCGGGGCCUGGUACAUAUGUGCACGCCACUCCUUCGGACUGUUCUUUGUAAGUAUCUUCUCUUAACGUCCACUUCUGGUCCCAUGCCAAAUGUCUUCUAUCUCUUCAUUUGUCCUCGAAAACAGGGCCCUGCACCAAGAUUCAACCUACAAAGAUAAAUCUGAGCUGAUUCGAGUUAAAUAGCCUACAAAAUGAUAAGAUCUAAGGCUCAAAUAAGUGUAAAAUUUACACGUAUGAAUUAUCCAUAUGGUUAAAUAAAUAAAAGCCAAGACAAAAUAUUAUGUGGUUGUCAACGAAAGAAUUUUUAUGAUGUUGCACUCAACUGGCUGAGUCGGAUAAUUUAUUUGAUUGAGGAAUUUUAUCACCCAAGAGUGCAAAAAUCUUCACUUAACUACUUACAAUCGAGGAGUCCUUUCUUUAUUCUUGAAAAUUAUUUGCAAUAUUAACAAUGGAUAUGUAAAAUAUGACAGAAGAUAGUCUUGUCUCUUCUUCUGACAUUUAUGAUAAUAACUAGAUCUUUUGUUUGAUCUUUUAAUAGUUUUGUAGAAUAAUUCAAAGCUCUCUGCCUUUACAUGGUCUUGGUUCUUAAACGGAUUCUCAUAAUGGCUUAUUACCACCAAUAAUGAGACCAUAACGUAUUCUUAGCUGAUGUUUGUGUUAUUUAUUGGCAGCAUGGUGAGACUCAUUCACAUUGGUUUCUGCAUUGUUACAUUCUAGAGAGAGUUUACGAGAAUGUUUUGUGGAAUAUCAUGAAAAUAAGGGCAGCUUAAUUGGCCAUAUUAGUUGCUUAUAUAAUUAUGUUGAUUGUUUUUUUCCUUGUUCAGUACUGAUUGUUAUUAGAUGCAAAAUUAACUUGUCGAAAACCUUCUUUUUGUAGCCCUAGCUUUGGUGUAUAUAUCGAAGAUAACAUAAGAAUCAUAAAUAUUUUCUAAAAUAUCCAGUAGGGAAGUACUUUUUCUUUGAUAAUAUCAUACAAUACCAGUUGACCUACUAGUCAUAUGAUCCGCUGUUUUCAGCUCAUUCUGAAGUCCAUCAACUGAUGAGCCAGUACCAAUUAGGCCAAGUAACUGCAUAUCCUAUUUUUCUUUUAAUCAGAAUUUAUGUAUUUUAUUACAUGCAUAGAUGUCAAAUGAGCUGGUCCAAGACGUCCUACAUUACAGAUGUGCGGUGUCUGUCUUUUAACUUUUCCUUGUUACUUUCCGAGAAGAGGUAAAGAAAAAGCCGAAAUUGGUCUUCACGAACUCCAGACUCAAGACAACCCACCCACAAUGCACUCACCUUCUUGUUUCUAUCUUUGAUUAUUCCUUGCAAAGUUUUCUUCGAGUUUUAUAUUGAGAUUUGAGAAGCAUCUUAGUGUAAAUGUGAACUCUUCUUGCUACUUGCACGCAUUUCUCUUUCAGAAUCCAACCAACCAAUAAUGCCACCCCAACCAGCCUUUCUUCCAUGUCUACGGCUUGGGCACCCUUCCCUUACAGGUUGUUUUUCGGGGUAUAUUUUAGUCAAAGUGAUUGUUACGAUCACCUCUCCAGCAGCCCCCAGCCAUCAACCUGUCCAAUGUCCAUCCCAAGCAGGCACCACCCACAACCUAAGCACUUAAUCACCCCUGCAGAUCUUGUCUAAAAAGCACAUAUGAAUGUGGAUUUCUAAGUCUAAAAAGCACCAUUGGUAUAAAUAGAGUUACAUUUCCCGUUUUAAAAUACGGAAACAAAUUCAACAAUCUGCGGUAGCAGAUGCCCUGGAUGUCCUUUUCAGUUUUUUCACUGAAAAUUGGACAAUUUGGCAGCAUGUUAUGUGUGAUUUGAGGUGAAAGGAGGGGCCCUGACUACAGACUAGAUAGGCAAUCGUCUAAAACACUGUUUUUGUGAGAGCCCAAAAAAAUAUUACAUAUAGUUCAUAAAAAAUUACAGAAAAAAUAAAGUCCAAAUGCAACCAACCAAACCAAUUUAGCUGUAUAAUUAACAAACAUAUUAAUCUUUAAUUAAAAUAUAAACCAAUUUUACACAAAAAAUCAUUUUUCAUAUUGGCCCACUUGAAUUCGUCCUUUCCUCUUUGUUAACCAUAAAAAAAUUGUACAUCUAAUUUUUUCCUUUGCAACAAAGUUACUUCUUUUUUCACUCUUUUCCUUCUUGUUUGUGUACAAUAAAUAAUGUGGUUAAUGACACGUCACCUUCGUGUGGAUUAAUGAUAAAAUAAUUUGGACAUUAUUAAACUACCUCACAUUUUUAUUUUGAUUCAAUAGUGGCAAUCCGGGUCACAUGAUUGAUUUUAUAGUGGAUUUUUAUUUAUUGUAUUUAUGUCCUGAUGGUUUUAUGGCUAAUGCUAAUGAACGUUUAGAGUUAUGAUGAGUAAAUGCUGAAAUGUGAGUAAACAGGGGUGUGAAAAGGUGUUAUUAUACUGCAAGAAAGGGAUGAUUCUAGAUAGAGGAUUCACUUGCAAUUGAAGCUAAAAUAUGAGAGACGCUUAAAAUUUUUGUCUGUUAGUAGAAGUUUUUAAAGAAUCUCAUACCUAUGGACACAAGAGUACCGUCUUAUAACACAUGAUAUUCUAGAAAUUGUGCUCCUAUCAAUUUUUGCAGAUGAAAAAAAAAUGUAUAAAUUGUGCUCAUGCAUAUUUUCUAGGCAUCUAUUUAGCCUAUUUUUUGGCUCAUGUUUAUGAAUAAAUGCUCAAUCUACUUUUUAUCCAAAUACCACCACCCGUUUUUGUAUAUUUAUAAUUCAAGUUGUUUAUAAACACUUCCCAAGUGUUUUCUAAUGCUCAAUUUGAAUGUAUCUAAAAUUGCUUCUGGUAAUGCAAUUGAGGGAUUGCAAGACUUGUUUUGCUUGUCUGAUCUAGAUUAUAUUUCCCAUUGAAAGAGAAAGUGUUUACCUCAUUUUCAAUUGCCUACAUUUAUCAUCUAACAUAAUUAUUAAAUUGUAAUUACCUAAUAGUUUUGUGGCCAUUGAUUUCAAUUAUAAUAUGAACAAAUGGUUUAAAUGAUCAACUUGAUUGAAAUUAAGAUUUAUGAUGGAUUUUUACUCACUUUUGUAGUUGACAAGUGGUUUGUCGAUUUUGGACACAAAAGAAAUUGAUUUUAUUAACAAAAAAAAAAAAAAUUGCUUUUACAAUUUAACCACACACCUCUCACAAUUCUUAUUAAAGGAAGCACUAAAUUUACUUCCACUCUCUCUCUCUCUCUCUCAAAGCACUCAUAUAUGAUGCUUCUCGCUGUGUCUUUCUUUCACCACACAUGCAUACAGCCUGUAUUUUUGUUUUUCUCUCUUUCACACUUCUUAAUUCACUCUAUGACUCAAAAUGAAGUGCUAGAACAUAUUUAGUAGUGUAUGUUGGUGCCUUACAAUUCUAGAAACUUUUUAGAUUGUUUCAUAUAUGACAAUGGGCUACCUUUCAAAUAUUUCUCAGAUUCUUCUAGGAAUGCUUAAGGAUUAAGGAAUUUGUUUAGCAAGGAAUCAUCAUCAAUUUUUCUAGAGAAUUUUUGGAGCUUCCUCUUAAGCCGAUGAUGAUUUUCAAUUGGAUCAAUAGCAGUACACAUUUGACGAUGUACGAUAUACCCCAUAUUUAUUGGAAUUCGUAGAAAACAUCCCUAUUUGAGACCUUGUGUGGAAUACAACCAUUGAUGUGCGAAAAAUCCCCCUCUAUGAAAUUUGAAGUGCGAUUCACCCCCUUACCGUAUAAUUUCAUUAGUUUAGCCAUUAAAAGUAUCAAAAAUUGACAAAAUUGAAAUGGAAUUAUUGCAAUUGUGAUCCCAGUUUUUUUAUAUUUUUUACAAAUUAUAUUCAAAUUUUUUAUAUGUGUCAACUGCAAUUCCAAACCUAUAAAAUUUUAUUUUCUUCCACAAUUUUAAAGGAUAAAAUGAUAAUUUUAUAUUAUUCCAUAACAAAUAAUUAAAAUAAAAUAUAAAAAUCCCCACCCACCCCCAAAUUUAGGGCUGGGCAAAUCUCUCGAACCGAACCGAUCGAACCGAACCGGACGGUUCUUGUCAAAUUAAAUACCCGAAUGGAUAUCUGAAUUGAGAAUCGACGGGUACGGUUUGGUUCUCGGUUCUAGACCAAGAACCGAAGAACCGAAUAAGAACCGAAUAUUUCUAAUUUUUUUUAUAUUGGGUAAAUCAAAUUAUUUUAAUUUUAAUUUUUUCUAAACAAAUUAACAAUUUCUAAAUCCAAAUUUUUGGCCCAAUACCCAUUGUAUUGUUUCAUUUCUUAGCCCAACAAGAUCCAAUCCACUAAAUAACUCUAAACACCUACACUAAAGUGCAUAACGUUGUCUCGACUCUUGCACUCACUCUCGCAGCCUCGCUCAUAUUUCAAAACCUAUACAAUCGUCGGCCGAUGCUGUGACCUCCGAUCGAAGUUGCGACCUCCUCCGACCGAAACUUUGACCGUAGCGACCAUUUGACCAAGGUAGUCUACUAGUCUAUGGCAUUCCAAAACCAUCGAAUAUAUCAUUGUAUUUAUAUAAUGUGGUUAUAAAUGUUAAAAAAUUUAAUUAUAGUACAGAACCGAACGGAACGGAACGGAACCGAACGGUUCCAUAAUUAUAUUUGGACCCGACGGUUCCAUUUACUAGACACCCGAAAAUUUUGGUUCGGCUCGGUUCUAAAGAGAACCGAACCUAGAACCGAGCCGAACCGAACCGACCCGCGCCCACCCCUACCCAAAUUUCACAUCGUUAGGAUUUGAAUCUCACAUCAAUUCCCAAAACCAAAUUUCACCAAAAAUUUUUUCCUCUUCAUUUCUCCAUAUCAGCCCUUGAUUUUCUUUCUCUCACAUCCACACAGUAGCAGAAAAAAUAGCAAAUUAAAAAAAAUGAGAAAAGCAAAAGCUCAAGUUGAGAAUCCAUGAUGAUAAUUAAUUUUGGUUCUUGAUCGGGUGAUAGAUACAAAGGUGGGUUGUGGUGGUGGCAUUGUCGGCGGAGGAGGCGUAGGUGACGUUAAGCACAUAAUGAAAUCUUCUUUCUCUUCAGUUUGGCCUUUUUUUGCCCUUUCCGUUUAGGGUUUAGUGAGAAAAAAAAUUGGCAUAUUUUGUUGGUGAAUUUUUAUUUUGUUCUCCGUUCAAUAAAAACAAGGAAUUUAGGGCAAAAUUGAGGGCUGCAAUUAGAAAUACAGUUGCAUUGGUUUAGUACUUAGUUAUCAUGUUUAUACAUCAAGUAUGUAGUUUCAAAUUAAUUAGAAUGUGUAUUCUAAUUAGUUACCAGGAAAGGGGAAAAGAAUUGAUAAAUUUUCUUUGUGAAAAUAGAGAAGUUGGUAUUAUGUUUCUUCCAAGAAACCAUUGGUUUCUCUGUAUGUUCUGUUUAUCUUUUCGAUGGCUAUCAAUGAAUGUACAAUUGUCUUUUGGGAAGCAAAUAAAAUUUUAAAGGUUUGGAAUUGAGGUUUGGUACAUAUAAUGAUUAUUAUUUUUUUUUUGUAUAAUUUGAAAUAAAUGUAAAAAGUUUGGGAUCACAACUACAAUUAUUAAUUUUCAAUUUUGCCAAUUUCUACUGUUUUCAAUGGAUGACUAACGGAACUAGACGGUUGGAGGUGAAUCGUACUUCAAAUUUCAUACAUUUUCUUCUCCUAAAAUGUUGUAUCCCUUGCAAUUUUUAAUAGAUAGGGGAUAUAUUGCACAUCAUGAAGUAUGUAGAACGUUUUUUUGUUAUUAAUCCAUUUUCAAUUCUCCCCUUCAACACUGACUUAUAGAUUUAGUUCUUCUCUCCUUAUUAUUCCCAGUUGCGUUCAAAACUCUUCAAAUUUUGAAGCAAGAGCCAUUUCGUUAAGACAUCUAUAUUAUUAAAAUGUAUACCAUUUUUUAAAGUCAUUUUUAUAUCAUUGGCCCACUUGAAUUCGAC